UUUGGGAAGUCCUCUUGUUGCAUUCCC
Molecule: ribosomal RNA, 27 nt
Filed under: Saccharum barberi
Lineage: Eukaryota; Viridiplantae; Streptophyta; Magnoliopsida; Poales; Poaceae
Source: RNAcentral